UUUCGGGGUGCACCAGGCGGGAAAAUUUUCCAAUGCCGGCAACGGCACUAAGGAAAUCUGGAGUGCCAGGUUACAAAUUCGGUCGUCGUGAUACCUAAAAAGCAUUGCAUAACAAGGGCCGGGCAAGACCGGUGCCAGCCGCCGCGGUAACACCGGCGGCUCGAGUGGUAACCGUUAUUAUUGGGUCUAAAGGGUCGUAAGCCGGCCGGGUAAGUCUCUUGGGAAAUUUGGCAGGCUUAACCGUCAGGCUUUCCGGAGAUACUGCCUGGUCUCGAGACCGGGAGAGGUUAGAGGUACUUCACGGGGUAGGGGUGAAAUCUCGUGAUCCCUGAAAGGACCCCCCAUGGGGAAGGGGUCUCAUCAGAACGGACCUGACGGCAAGGGACGAAAACUAGGGGGCACGAACCGGAUUAGAUACCCCGGGUAGUCCUAGCCGUAAACGAUACUCGCUAGGUGUCGGCCACGGUGCGACCGUGGUCGGUGCCGUAGGGAAGCCGUGAAGCGAGCCACCUGGGAAGUACGACCGCAAGGCUGAAACUUAAAGGAAUUGGCGGGGAGCAC
Molecule: ribosomal RNA, 561 nt
Filed under: uncultured archaeon
Lineage: Archaea
Description: bacterial SSU rRNA
Rfam family: Archaeal small subunit ribosomal RNA
Source: RNAcentral